CAAGCUAGACAAACCGAAGGUCCCUGAGCUCGGGGGAGGAGAGAGAGAGAGGGGUUGACCUGGAAUCUGUUUUAUUGCCGGCGUUAAACGUCAAUAUAUCAAUCUAUCGAUGCCAGGGGGUGAAGGAAGGCACCAGAGCUUUACUUGCGCUAAUAAUAAUCACAGUGCUGUUUCUAUCGUGGGCAUGAUAGUAUAUUUGUGGACCUUCACGAAUCUGGUAGUGCUCGGGACCUGUGAACGUCGUGGGCGUGUGUUGCGACCCCUUUCUCUCUAUCUCUUGCGUAGCGUGGCUGUGUGGCCUUAUUAAUGAAGCCACCCCGCACGUCUUGGAUUGUGAGACAUCUUCGGGGAUUUUUGGGAUUUCGAACUGUGGCGCGACGAUUCACGGUUACUGGUCACACGAGCUGACGGGCUUUUGAGCCAAGGCUAUGUCCUACUUUUAAACAUGUACUAGGUUAGAAACCAUCUGCCCAGAGUGGACUGUGUGGAUGAUUUCACCUCGGAAGAUCUGAAUAAACGAUUUUGAAAGCCUUCA
Molecule: non-coding RNA, 535 nt
Organism: Physcomitrium patens
Lineage: Eukaryota; Viridiplantae; Streptophyta; Bryopsida; Funariales; Funariaceae
Source: RefSeq, a predicted model, not a curated record